GUGGGGAAUAUUGGGCAAUGGGCGCAAGCCUGACCCAGCAACGCCGCGUGAGGGAAGAAGGCUUUCGGGUUGUAAACCUCUGUCCUUGGUGACGAAACAAAUGACGGUAGCCAAGGAGGAAGCCCCGGCUAACUACGUGCCAGCAGCCGCGGUAAUACGUAGGGGGCGAGCGUUGUCCGGAAUUACUGGGCGUAAAGGGUGCGUAGGUGGCCUUUUAAGUUGGAUGUGAAAUACCCGGGCUUAACUUGGGGGGUGCAUCCAAAACUGGGAGGCUAGAGUGCAGGAGAGGAAAGCGGAAUUCCUAGUGUAGCGGUGAAAUGCGUAGAUAUUAGGAGGAACACCAGUGGGGAAGGCGGCUUUCUGGACUGUAACUGACACUGAGGCACGAAAGCGUGGGGAGCAAACAGGAUUAGAUACCCGAGUAGUCC
Molecule: ribosomal RNA, 428 nt
Filed under: uncultured bacterium
Lineage: Bacteria
Description: partial 16S ribosomal RNA
Rfam family: Bacterial small subunit ribosomal RNA
Source: RNAcentral